Long non-coding RNA from Dreissena polymorpha, 2940 nucleotides. RefSeq lists it as uncharacterized. The transcript has 2 exons. The record is from RefSeq and is a predicted model, not a curated record. Lineage: Eukaryota; Metazoa; Mollusca; Bivalvia; Myida; Dreissenidae.
UAAAAGUUACGGAAUCUUUGAUCUGGUGUGUAAAACAGCAGGAUGCAUAUAAAUAUAAAUAAAUGGAUUUAUAAAAUGAAGGGAUACUCAAACUUGAAGGUAAGAACUAAAAUUAUGUUUUGAAUUUUUGUGUACAAAUUGAUAAAUACUUCGAUGGUCGCACGUUGCCUGUACAUUGACACUGUAAUAGUGCUUUCUGUUCACAUAUUGCUCCUUGUGUUCAUGGGGAGCAAUGAUGCGAACGUGUGUUCCGUCGAUCGCCGCAAUUACAGACGGAAAUCCAGCGAUUUAUGUCUGUCCGUCGUCGGGAAUUUAAUUGUUUGGUCUUUCAGGUCACACAGUUCGUCAGUUACUCUGGUCACUACCCUUGAAACCGUGGCAAUGUCCACCCCAAAAGUAUCCCCUAUUAAUUGCAAAAAAUUUCCGGAAGCAAAAAAUCUCAGUGUUAUCAAUAUUUGCUGCCUCGGUGUCAAGGGUUGAUUCCGUCCAGUUGGUCUCUCAAGUCUAUGUCCGAUCAGUCGUUCUAUGCGGUCGAUGCUGUCAGGUGUAAAUCUAAAUCGUCAUCGUAUUUCUUCAGGGUCGUCAGUUUCCGUAAAUCUGUCAAUUCGUCGAAAUUGUCUUGGUCGUCUAGCGUUCGGUUAGUCAAUAUUAAUUGCCGCCUUAGUCUUUUGAUGAUUUUUGCUUUGGCAGACUCUUGACGUCAAUAGUCCACUCUAUCUUUUUAAUAGCGAGAGUUUUCCUUCUUUGUCUUUAUUGAUGCGCAAGGAAUUUGGUGCGCAACAUUCAAGCCCCGAUAUCAGACAGUUAAUAUCAACGGAUUGCAAUAAUAUUUACAUACCUGUGUAGAUAAUUCAUUUCUCAAUAAUGUUCCGUAAGAAUUAUGUAAUGACUCUUUCAAUUUUGCACGCCUGACCAAUUUAAAUCGACACACUACUCACAUUUUCCAUUCCAAUCGCUGUGCUCGCUGUAUACCGCAGGUAGAUUUUAAUCGAUAACGCAGCCUAUUACACCGUAAUGCCUUCUUCUGAUUGGUUGAUAUUUAAAUAUUUCAUAACAUGGCGAGAGGUCAGUGAUUGUAUUGCGAUUUAAGCAGAAGUUUAACUGAAACAAAUUAUGCCUUUUAACUUCAAUUCGACGCGAUUUGAGACCGGAGUUUCAGCGUUCAGCGUUCGGUAUGUCAAAGUCAGCCAUUUUGUCAGCGCGUACUUCAUUUGGAUAAAGAUAACCGACGUCAAAUAUCUUGGCUAAAUCUUAUCCAAAACUUAACCAGAACUUGAACCGUUUUGGAUAACCAUUUUUUUAUACAAUCGCUAACCAAAAAAGAUAUCCUUAAAUUGAAGAUAACCAAAAGUUAUCCGCUGGAUAAGAGUUAUCCAUAUUUAUACAAUUGGCUGCUGGACGUUACGGGGACCAUGCUUUGACCUAGCUUCCUUGAAUUUGGGCCAUAGCUGCUUCCUGGCGUCGCUUUUUUCUUUUGGAUAGUCUCUCAGGACCUGAAGUUGUUUCCGUCAAGUCGACGUGCGCUGUUCAUGAUGUCGUCAACGUCGCCUGGGUGGCUCAUCAUGACUCGAAUUAGCCGUGGUCGUGUAUUGUUUGUGCUGGUGCGUCUGCCGACACGAUUGCCGCGCAGGACUGAGAUUUCACCUCUGUCAAUGUUGAGUGACCUUCGCAGAAAUUCAUGAACUGUAUUAAAACAAUUUUCGUUUUCGCAUUUAUCUACCCCCGCAAUAAGUAUGAAGCUUUCCCUCUGCCGGGCCUCAAGCUCUAAUGUUUUGUAUUCAAGCAGAAGUACACGGACAAACAUAAAUUUGACGUCACGCGAUUUGUAUGGGUAUAACGUAGGUAUCCGAAAGAGCCGACAUAAAAUUCAAUAGUCGGCUCUUCCGGAUACCUGUUUUUUAGAAUGAAACUUGAUACAAAUGUAUGUAAAAACUUGUACUCAGUCACAUUAGCAAUGGAUAUUCUAUUGACCAUGUGUCAAUAUAAAUGGUUUUGAAAUAAGGAAAUCAUGUCAAUUUAUAUCUUCCUGGGAACAAAAAACAACAACACAAAAGUCAAAUAUUUAGAUAAUGCUAUCAGCCUGGAGUGUUUCCUGUUCCUGUUGCUAUGUAUUUGGUAAGUUGUUAAGACUGUAUUUUACUUCUAGGAUGAGUCGUCCACUAAUGUAUGCCCUGGAAAACGCAGUUGGAUCAGUAAAAAGUAAAUCUAUGGUCUACUUUAAGGCAUCUAGGCUCUACAAUAUACCAAGGUCAACGAUAUUUGCCAAGGUUAAGGGUCAUUCCAGCAUCGAAUGCACUAUGGGGCCACAUACAGUUCUCACAGCUGCUGAGGAAAAGAGGAUAGUCUAGUGGCUGACACAAAUGUCACGUAUCGGUUAUGGACGGACUAAAUAUAAAUUGAUAAGAACUGUUGACAAAAUUGUAAAGAAAGAUGGACUAUAAUUACCCGUCUAGAUGAGUUAAGUGUGAAAAUUGCCAAACACUUUGGCAUUAUAUGUGUGCCAACAGGCCGGAAUAUAAGUUGUUGGACGAGAAAGAAAGAGCAAAAAUGGAGUGUGUUUGUUUGAUGUGUGAUUGAAGUAUCAGACGCAAUUAUAAGAAAAAGUGAUGCUUUUUAAGUAUUAUCGCGUGAUUGACUGAUUACUAGUAUUUGAAUGAUGUACUGCUGUUGAGUUAAUGUUCCUGUUGAUUUCAAUUAUGUUUGGCAUGUUUUAUGAGUGUUUUUAUUUAAACAAUGGUGUGAAAAGGGUAGGCUCUUUGACAUAAUUAAAGCGUUACGUGACUGAAAUGAAAAGUUUUAACAUGAAAUAAUAUCAUAAAAGAUUAAGCCAGUUUGCAAUAUUUUCAUACGAGUUUAUAUUGUCAGUAAAACUAUUUGUAUUUUUGUAUAAUGGACAGUUUUAAGAAAGAAGUGAAUACAUUUUGAUAACGCUAUGUUUAA